Molecule: ribosomal RNA, 566 nt
Filed under: Hanseniaspora uvarum
Lineage: Eukaryota; Fungi; Ascomycota; Saccharomycetes; Saccharomycodales; Saccharomycodaceae
Description: partial large subunit ribosomal RNA
Rfam family: Eukaryotic large subunit ribosomal RNA
Source: RNAcentral
UUAGUACGGCGAGUGAAGCGGUAAAAGCUCAAAUUUGAAAUCUGGUACUUUCAGUGCCCGAGUUGUAAUUUGUAGAAUUUGUCUUUGAUUAGGUCCUUGUCUAUGUUCCUUGGAACAGGACGUCAUAGAGGGUGAGAAUCCCGUUUGGCGAGGAUACCUUUUCUCUGUAAGACUUUUUCGAAGAGUCGAGUUGUUUGGGAAUGCAGCUCAAAGUGGGUGGUAAAUUCCAUCUAAAGCUAAAUAUUGGCGAGAGACCGAUAGCGAACAAGUACAGUGAUGGAAAGAUGAAAAGAACUUUGAAAAGAGAGUGAAAAAGUACGUGAAAUUGUUGAAAGGGAAGGGCAUUUGAUCAGACAUGGUGUUUUUUGCAUGCACUCGCCUCUCGUGGGCUUGGGCCUCUCAAAAAUUUCACUGGGCCAACAUCAAUUCUGGCAGCAGGAUAAAUCAUUAAGAAUGUAGCUACUUCGGUAGUGUUAUAGCUUUUUGGAAUACUGUUAGCCGGGAUUGAGGACUGCGCUUCGGCAAGGAUGUUGGCAUAAUGGUUAAAUGCCGCCCGUCUUGAAACC